UACGUAGGUGGCAAGCAUUGUCCGGAUUUAUUGGGUUUAAAGGGUGCGUAGGCGGCCCACUAAGUCAGUGCUGAAAUAUCCCGGCUUAACCGGGAGGGUGGCAUUGAUACUGGUGGGCUUGAGUACAGAUGAAGUAGGCGGAAUUGACGGUGUAGCGGUGAAAUGCAUAGAUAUCGUCAAGAACACCGAUAGCGAAGGCAGCUUACUAAGCUGUAACUGACGCUGAGGCACGAAAGUGUGGGGAUCAAACAGG
This 253-nucleotide ribosomal RNA is filed under the name uncultured bacterium. Its description in RNAcentral is "partial 16S ribosomal RNA". It matches the Rfam family "Bacterial small subunit ribosomal RNA", at positions 524 to 776 of the family's 1533-position model. The record is from RNAcentral.